CUGGUUCAUGAUGAUGAGGUAGUCUCUCAUAUUCUAAACGGCCUUGAUUAUGAUUACAACCCAUUUGUAUCAUCUAUGCUUGGUCGUGUCGAGCCAAUCUCGUUGAACGACCUCUACUCGCAACUUCUGUCCUAUGAUC
Molecule: small nucleolar RNA, 139 nt
Organism: Panicum virgatum (switchgrass)
Lineage: Eukaryota; Viridiplantae; Streptophyta; Magnoliopsida; Poales; Poaceae
Product: small nucleolar RNA Z247
Exons: 1
Source: RefSeq, a predicted model, not a curated record